Molecule: long non-coding RNA, 1399 nt
Organism: Pseudophryne corroboree (corroboree frog)
Lineage: Eukaryota; Metazoa; Chordata; Amphibia; Anura; Myobatrachidae
Exons: 3
Source: RefSeq, a predicted model, not a curated record
UAGGUGUGCAAGAGAACUUGUGACCACAGACUUUUACAUAAACAAUUGGAUUUAAUCCACAGCACUCAAUGGUGCAAGUGGGAAACUAAUAUUCCCUAAUUUUAAAUGAAAUACAGUUUGGAAUUUCAAUCGAUACCUCUGGAUCCCUCAAUAAGAACUCAUUAACUGCAUCUAUACUUUUACCGUGGCCUGGCACUCCCAGUGCAUAUAAUACUUAGCUGGUUGCCUGCGCUGGUAUCGGCAUGUGCAGCAACAGAUGGCGACACUCCAGAGAAAUAAUGACAAGAAAGAGCAUAUAGAAGCAACGUUUCAAUGCCUAUAUUAGCAGCAUUUUCAUCAGGACGGGAUGCAGUGUGAGAGGGAUGCUGUCAUGCGACCGCCGCUCGGGAUCCUAGCGGUCACCAUGCCGACGCCGGAGUCCAGAGCACUCAAAAUGCUGUAAGUCUGAAUGCUGACCCAUAGGCUCUAUUCCCACUCGUAGGUGUCCACAGCAAGUCCACAAGAGGCUUUGUGGUGUGCAGGAGAAGAGGCUCGGUGGCAGAAGAAGACCUGGCAGCAGAGGCUAAAGAACCGGCAUUUGGAAUGAGGGCAUGUGAAGAUGUGAAGGCAAUAGGCCUGAGCUGUAUUUAGGAGUGCUGGCCCCAUUUUCGAGUGGUCUUGGCACUAGGCCAAGAUCACUUUAUCUGGAGAAGGCAGGCAAUAGGCCUGAGACGUGAUAUUGUUGGUGCUUUAGGUUAGGGACCCAGAGAACAAAUUACCACUCAUAUAGUGAACUGAGCUCUAGGCCAAGGUCACUGAUUAACACCGCUUGGCAGGUCAGCAAGGGCCUGACCUGCACAUCACCAGGUGAUCUGAGUAUUAGACUCCAAGUCCAGGGGGGAAGGAGUCUGAUACAGAAACUGCCAGGCAUGCCAAUAAGGCCUGGUCCUCUGCAUAAGGGAGUGGGAUCUGGGCUACAAGGCCAGACUUACAGUUAGUGUGGAAGGCAGAGAUGGCUAUGCAGCUUCCCCCUCUUUCAAAGUCAAGUGUUGGGCUUCCAAAGUAUGGGGAAUCAUCUGGGCCCUCAUGUCACCAGCUUGAGGACACAAGCCAGUGAUUGCGUGAAGCGUGGAGGAGCUGUCCAGUUCCACAUGUUCGCGUAAUCUCGGGAGUGAACGGCUGUUCACUCUAGGUAUCCUGGUUCACUAGCACCCAGACAUUUGAACUACAGGCUGACUUCCCUGUCCUUAGGGGAAGGAAACUUAUGGUGUAUUCACACUAUAUACUGUCGUGCUUGAAUUCUCUGUAUGUUUUACAGGUUGAGUAUCCCAUAUCCAAAUAUUCCGAAAUACGGAAUAUUCCGAAAUACGGACUUUUUUGAAUGAGAGUGAGAUAGUGAAACCUUUGUUUUUUUGAUGGC